GGCAGCUACACCGCGGCCUCCCAGGAAUGGAAGCAGCUAAGGCGGUCUCCAUGGAAACAGAAAAGAAGAGAGGCAAAUCGCUGUCUUCCACUCAGGGACCCGCCCUCAAGAUAAAUUAGCCAGUGAUUCGAAGGGGCUAGCAACAAGAAGGUAUCAUUGAUGGGGACGAGGGAAACCCGGGUCUGUCACUGUCCAAUCGCUUUUGAGGUUGGGCCCGCGGCUCUUUCCAGUAUUAACCAAUAGUGAGGGACGAUGAAAUAACCUCCGCCCGCCACUGGAGGAUGUCAGGAAGGAGGAAUGAAUUUUGAGUGGACGCUUCCGAUUAGUGGGUUUGGAACGCUGGGGCUGAAAGCCCACUUGUGAUUCGCUGCCUCUAGGACGAGGCCCCAGUGGGGAGGGGCUACAGCGGAGUUGGAGAUUGUGUGGAAAAGAGGCGGCCUCGGGGUCGGCUCUUGGGGAGAGGGCUGGCCAGAAUGCCCAGCACUAUACUUGGAGUGGGUGCAGAAGUAUUCAUCUUAGCGCUGCUCUGGGUGUUGAUAUUGCUGCUGUGUGUGCUGUUAUCCCGAGCCUCCAGUCUAGCUAGGUUCUCUGUCAUUUUUGUUUUCUUUGCUGCUUCUGAUCAUCACAUUAGUUCUAUUAUUUUUUCCCUGGGCCACUGAGGUUCCAAUCCCAGAGGUAGAAAUGAAGAUCCUUGACAAGUUCUUCAUUGGUCAUUAUGUUCUACUGGUUUUCUCAAUGUUUUUUUCCUUGAAGUCUCUUUCUGGUUCUAAUUCACUUCAGUCUUGGUAAGGACCAUUUAAAGAAAUACCAAAAACUACUAAUUGAACAGAGCUGCUGUAUGAAUUCUAUGAAUAUUGAAACUCAUUGAAGGAGCUAUGGAAUUAUUUUGGUGAGUAUAUAUUCUCCUUGAGAAAUGGUGUUAUCUUCAUAAUCACUUAAUUAUUUUGGAGUAGGACUUAAAUUAAGCAGGAUAAAAUGGAAUGAAUUAUGGGAAGAAAAUAUUUCCCAACAGCUGGCAGAGGUCAAAAACAGAUACUUUAUGAUUAUUGGUGAUAUUACAUUGCUUGAAAAUGGCACUUAGAUCUUUUUUUUAAAAAAUUUAAUAGCCUUUUAUUUACAGGUUAUAUGUAUGGGUAACUACAGCAUUGACAAUUGCCAAACCUCUUGUUCCAAUUUUUCUCCUCCUUCC
RNAcentral lists this long non-coding RNA (1189 nucleotides) under Sarcophilus harrisii (Tasmanian devil). RNAcentral describes it as "lncRNA (ENSSHAG00000024815.1)". Lineage: Eukaryota; Metazoa; Chordata; Mammalia; Dasyuromorphia; Dasyuridae. The record is from RNAcentral.